This 513-nucleotide ribosomal RNA is filed under the name uncultured bacterium. RNAcentral's name for it is "partial 16S ribosomal RNA". It matches the Rfam family "Bacterial small subunit ribosomal RNA", at positions 28 to 523 of the family's 1533-position model. The record is from RNAcentral.
GACGAACGCUGGCGGCAUGCCUAAUACAUGCAAGUCGAGCGAACAGAUGAAGUGCUUGCACUUCUGACGUUAGCGGCGAACGGGUGAGUAACACGUAAGGAAUCUACCUAUAAGCGGGGGAUAACAUUCGGAAACGGGUGCUAAUACCGCAUAAUAUCUUCUUCCGCAUGGAAGAAGAUUGAAAGACGGCUCUGCUGUCACUUAUAGAUGACCUUGCGGUGCAUUAGUUAGUUGGUGGGGUAACGGCCUACCAAGACGAUGAUGCAUAGCCGACCUGAGAGGGUGAUCGGCCGCAUUGGGACUGAGACACGGCCCAAACUCCUACGGGAGGCAGCAGUGGGGAAUCUUCCGCAAUGGGCGAAAGCCUGACGGAGCAAUGCCGCGUGAGUGAAGAAGGCCUUCGGGUCGUAAAACUCUGUUAUAAGAGAAGAACAAAUUGUAGAGUAACUGCUACAGUCUUGACGGUAUCUUAUCAGAAAGCCACGGCUAACUACGUGCCAGCAGCCGCGGUAA